AACUCUCAACAACGGAUAUCUUGGCUCCCGUAUCGAUGAAGAACGCAGCGAAAUGCGAUACGUAGUGUGAAUUGCAGAAUUCCGUGAACCAUCGAAUCUUUGAACGCAAAUUGCGCCCGAGGCUUCGGCCGAGGGCAUGUCUGCCUCAGCGUCGGCUUACCCCCUCGCCUCCCCUUCACUGGGUGAGUGCGGAUCUGGCCCUCCCGACUCCGACUGAACUUGUUCAGCCAUCCGGGUCGGCUGAAGUGCAGAGGCUUGAGCAUGGACCCCGUUUGCAGGGCAAUGGCUUGGUAGGUAGCUUUGCUACGCAGCCUGCCGUCGCCCGAGGGGCCUUUGCUGGCGGCCCAGCAGGAACCGGGGCGUUAAACCCCCGGCGUCUCACACUUUCGACCUGAGCUCAGGCAAGAUUACCCGCUGAACUUAAGCAUAUCAAUAAGCGGAGGAAAAGAAACUAACUAGGAUGCCCUUAGUAACGGCGAGCGAACCGGGCAAAGCCCAACUUGAAAAUCUCCAGCCUCCGGCUGGCGAAUUGUAGUCUAGAGAAGCGCUCUCUGCGCCAGUCCGGCCCCAAGUCCCCUGGAAAGGGGCGUCAGAGAGGGUGAGAACCCCGUUGGGACCGGAUCCUGGUGCUCCACGAGACGCUUUCGCAGAGUCGGGUUGUUUGGGAAUGCAGCCCAAAGCAGGUGGUAAAUCCCAUCUAAGGCUAAAUACAGACGGGAGACCGAUAGCGAACAAGUACCGUG
RNAcentral lists this ribosomal RNA (743 nucleotides) under Micractinium sp. MCWWW19. RNAcentral's name for it is "eukaryotic LSU rRNA". The stretch from base 388 to 743 matches the Rfam family "Eukaryotic large subunit ribosomal RNA", at positions 1 to 355 of the family's 3401-position model. The record is from RNAcentral. Lineage: Eukaryota; Viridiplantae; Chlorophyta; Trebouxiophyceae; Chlorellales; Chlorellaceae.